AACAUCAGCGAUAUUUAUCUUCAAUGGCUUUAGUUGUUAUUUGACUGGAUCAAUCUUAUGUUUCUUUAUCCUCUCCUCAGUAAGUUUUUUCCCCUGCCUUCCUUUUCAUGGUACUUCAAUUUGUGAUUUUUGGCUCUUUAAGAGAGAAUAUGGAUGGGAUCAUUUUACUGUAUUUCAAGAUUUUUAUGGUGAUGAGUUUCUGGUUCAUGCCCCAAUGUUCUCUCUUUUCACAUGUGAAAAAGGAUCUUGUUUUCUUGCUGUCGUUUUUGCUGUCUCACAUCUGCUUGCAGAGUCAACCACUUGAUGGUGGCUGUAUAUGUAGUUGUACAGGCAGCUGUUCCAUCUUUAAUGUUUGUGUUGUUUCCCAUUUCAGCAUCUUGUCAGUUAUUGCUUUGACAUGUAUGAUUCACAAUUUAUGUUUAAUGUGUGUGCACAUUAUAUUGUAUUUUCACAUGCCUAACAAAUGGGGGGGGAAAAAAAAGUGCUAGCAGAUUUUGACAAUACUGUGAGUUAAUUUGUUGUACUUUAUAGUUAGGAGUUGUUUCAAAAAGUUCUCCAUAAAAAGGUUUGUGGAUUUAGAUAAAAGAUGGUGAAAUGUGUCACAUGUGGUUGAAAAGUUGAUAAAAGUUGUGUGUUCCAUGAUAUUAUGGUUAAAAUCAAUUUUUUAGCAACAUUUUUUGCUUUCCUGAACAAGCACUUUGUAGAUAAGCAUUUACUAUCCCCUUACGUAUUAGACUGCAAAUAAUUCUCUUUCUUUCCUUUUCUUUUGUCCCGUCUGUAUUUGUUCCUUUUGGCAUAAUUAUUUUCGUUCAAUCAGUGCAAGCAAUAUGAGAAGGACCUAAUGGACAUGAUCGAUAGAGAAGUGGAUGGAAGUGAUAGUCUUGAGGGGAUUUGUUCUGUGCCAUUCAAUUGCUAGUGGUACAAGCUAAGGUUUCCAAAUCCUAUCACAUUGUGCAAAUUUUCUAUGUAAAUUCCAAAAUAUGAAUGUCUUGAUUCAUAUUUGAUUUUCAUAAGAAUAUGAAACUGGUUUUGUACUGUUCACGGAAGGACAGGUCAACUGCACUGUAGAGGCCCAAUUUAUUCUCUCUGCUUUCACUGUAUAUACUCAAUGUAUCUAUCUCUUCCUUUUCAUUUCUUCCCCCAUUUAGCCAUCCUUGUUGACUAUAUAAUAGUUAUUUGCUUUCCAUGUAGCCACCAUUCUUUCUAGCUACAGUGGUUCUGCAUUGUUCAUUAAAUGAUCGCCCUAACAAAGCGUCAUUUCUUCCAUCUCUAAACCCUCUUUUUUCUUUCCCGAAUUUCAAUCCCCAUUCCCAACACACUUUAAUUCCUCCUACAACGCUAAAAACCCUUCAAUUAAUUUCAUCUCUCCAGGAAUGAGCUGGCUGUACAAGCUUAGAUUUGGUGUUCUUAACUCCACCGACUCCAUGUGGAUUCCUCUUUCGAUUCUUCCAUAGCGCAUGGGACUAGACGAUCAUGUACUCGCUCUGAGCCAUCAGUUCGUGCAAUUCGAAGGAGGUAGAGAAUAUAGUAUUGGCUUCCUCCAUUGCAAUUUAUUGUUGAGUUUUUUUAAAACAGUAUUUAAUCGUAUCCCCAAGAAAAAUUUAUGAAUUUCAGUUCAGAAAUUUGAGAAAAAAUGUGAAGUUUAGGUUUGCUUUCAUCUUAAAUGUCUUAAAAGUUUGUUCUUAUUGGCAAAAAGUUUUAAAUUUCUGCAUUUAUUUAAUUAAGCUUGCUCAUUUUUAUCACCGGCAAAACUAAGAUUUCAGAUUUUGGGUGUGGUGUGGGGCUGAGCAACAUAGGGAAGCAGCAAUGCACAAAGGUCACUCAGAUUAAAAGGCUAAUUGCUAGAAACUGGUGAAUAUAAGCACAAGGAAGAUUUGGAAAUGCUUAUAAAUUUAGAGCUGGGGAAGUUAAAUUAUGUUGAGAACGAGUUCCGGAAUUAUGAAUAUAUUGUAAGAAAAAAUAAUAAAUGAGAUUGUAUAUAAAAUAAAAAGUGGAGCAAUUUGAUUGAAUUAUGCCACUAUGAGUUUUAAUUUUUGAUUUCUUUUAUUUUUUGAUUGUCAAAUUUGUCGACGAAUAAAUGAAACAUAGGAUUGAGUUGAGUAUGACGUGGAGAAAUGUGACUAGAGAGCUUGAAACAUUGACCUCUUGAAAAUUAACUUUUGAGAACGUGAAAACUUCCAACUAGAAAGUAGAAACUGCAUGAUCGGCUGAAUAAUUUGUAAAAAGAAGUGACAAACUGUAAUUUCUCUAUUUUGUGAUUUAUGUUUUCGUGAACAUUAUUGUAGCUAGAUGUUCCUUUAGUUUAUCAUUCACAUAUUGAAAUGAGAUAUUGCACAUGCUAGAAGAAAUAUGUAAUCCUCCUUCUGGUUCUUGGCAAAAUUUGAAGGUGAGUAGAAUUUUCUGAGUACGAACUUUGUUGUUGUUGUUUUUUUUUCUGGCAAUUAUAUUUAUCUUGUGAAAAACUGUUUCAGGAUUACAUGUGAAAAUCUAGGGAUGUUUUUUUUCUCAAGUUUCUUGUGAUGAUGAUGGUAAGUUAUUUUACUCAAUACAAUUUUUUUUACUAUAGAGAUGCUAAUGGCUCCGUGCAACCUUGUUAAUGGGGUUUAUAAACAUUUGUUACUAUAUUCAGGAACCUUUGGCAUAGUUAACUAUAGUAAUUGCUAAAACAUUAAUUAUGUUGUAAGUCACAGUUGUAUUCAUCUUCAAAAUGUUUGAGCUUCUGUGCAUCCAUGAAUUUUUCUAGUCAAUUUGGUAAUUUGUUGUCCUCUUGCUCAGAUCCGGAAAUUUGAUGAUCACGAUUUGAAGAAUCUUUCGACCAGAAUAAUAUCCGGGUAUUCUUUUAUAUUUUUUCUCUUCUUUGUCUGUUUUUCUUCUCUUUUAAGGGAUUAAAUUUUCAAAGAAUGUCGUUUCUUCUUUAUCAAAAAAAAAAAAAAAACCCAAAGCAAGCACUUGGAAUUCAGUUUCUAUUUCUAAUAUAGUGUUAGAAAUUACAUUUGUGCCUUUGUAACCUAUACAAUGCUCAAAUCUUGAACUUCUUACUUCUUAGAGGGAUUUAACUCUUACAGUAUCGUAAUUUUUACUACUAAAAUCUAAGAAUUCGUACAAUAAUAUCUUUACGAAAGUAACUAUCUUAUGAAAUAAUAAACUUUUUUCUUUGUAAAUCAAUAAAUUCAGGUAAAGGAAUACAAGCA
RNAcentral lists this long non-coding RNA (3191 nucleotides) under Olea europaea subsp. europaea. Lineage: Eukaryota; Viridiplantae; Streptophyta; Magnoliopsida; Lamiales; Oleaceae. The record is from RNAcentral.